UGCCCGUCUCCGUGUGGGAGGGAUUUCUUUUAUACGUUAUCGAUAGCCUUAUCGAAAAAUUAAUUACACGUAUUAUAUGUAAGUCUUUUAGAAUAUUUAUUUUUAGACGAAUAUUGGAUGGAAAUAAAUAGAAGUACAUCCCGAAAUGUGGGGAUUAGAGGAAAGGAGAAAACAAAGGGAUGAGGAAUAUUGUAUAAACACGGACUGUUCUUCUCCCAGUGUUCUUUUCAUAGCGAGACAAAGUGAAUGCCCUUCUCCGUGUGAAAGGGAUUCCUUUAUAAAUGACGUUCUCGGUCUCGUUAUCGUAGAAGUAGAUUUCACAAAAGAAUUUCAAGUGAUAAAUCAAAAAAUUUUAGACCCUCAAAAAAAAAAUAAACGAUAUAUUUCAACAGGAAAACUCCUCCACACAUUAUAUUUAUAAGGCUGUACGUUCAAAAAGCAGGACAGUCGUUAUUUAAGUGUCACUAUCUCAUAACAGAUCGAACACAAGGUCAGCAACUAGGAAGAGGAAAAUAACCAAAUCUAGCGAUUUGUGCAGUUUGUUGGGGGAAGGGCAAUCCAAAGAGACUACAGAACAUUCGACUCUUCGAUGAUGAUACAUUCUUCUUCGGGAGACGAAUUCAGUCUUAGCCAAUGAUCUGGCUUCAGCACAGAACAAGGUCCAACUUUUAUAUCUGAGAAAAUAUUUUAACUCCCUAAUUUACAAAGGAGCCAUGGCAUGUCGCCUAUCCUCUCCUGUGUCAUAAUUGUUAA
Molecule: long non-coding RNA, 753 nt
Organism: Sitophilus oryzae (rice weevil)
Lineage: Eukaryota; Metazoa; Arthropoda; Insecta; Coleoptera; Curculionidae
Exons: 2
Source: RefSeq, a predicted model, not a curated record